GAUGAACGCUGGCGGCGUGCCUAAUACAUGCAAGUCGAGCGAACGGACGAGAAGCUUGCUUCUCUGAUGUUAGCGGCGGACGGGUGAGUAACACGUGGAUAACCUACCUAUAAGACUGGGAUAACUUCGGGAAACCGGAGCUAAUACCGGAUGAUAUUUUGAACCGCAUGGUUCAAAAGUGAAAGACGGUCUUGCUGUCACUGAUAGAUGGAUCCGCGCUGCAUUAGCUAGUUGGUAAGGUAACGGCGUACCAAGGCAACGAUGCAUAGCCGACCUGAGAGGGUGAUGGGCCACACUGGAACUGAGACACGGUCCAGACUCCUACGGGAGGCAGCAGUAGGGAAUCUUCCGCAAUGGGCGAAAGCCUGACGGAGCAACGCCGCGUGAGUGAUGAAGGUCUUCGGAUCGUAAAACUCUGUUAUUAGGGAAGAACAUAUGUGUAAGUAACUGUGCACAUCUUGACGGUAGCUAAUCAGAAAGCCACGGCUAACUACGUG
RNAcentral lists this ribosomal RNA (497 nucleotides) under uncultured bacterium. RNAcentral describes it as "partial 16S ribosomal RNA". It matches the Rfam family "Bacterial small subunit ribosomal RNA", at positions 28 to 507 of the family's 1533-position model. The record is from RNAcentral.